GAUCCUGGCUCAGGAUGAACGCUAGCUACAGGCUUAACACAUGCAAGUCGCGGGGUAACAUCUGGUAGAGCUUGCUCUUCCAGGAUGACGACCGGCGCACGGGUGAGUAACGCGUAUCCAACCUGCCCACCACUUGGGGAUAACCUUGCGAAAGUAAGACUAAUACCCAAUGACGUCUCUAGAAGACAUCUGAAAGGGAUUAAAGAUUUAUCGGUGAUGGAUGGGGAUGCGUCUGAUUAGCUUGUUGGCGGGGUAACGGCCCACCAAGGCAACGAUCAGUAGGGGUUCUGAGAGGAAGGUCCCCCACAUUGGAACUGAGACACGGUCCAAACUCCUACGGGAGGCAGCAGUGAGGAAUAUUGGUCAAUGGGCGAGAGCCUGAACCAGCCAAGUAGCGUGCAGGACGACGGCCCUAUGGGUUGUAAACUGCUUUUAUAAGGGAAUAAAGUGAGUCUCGUGAGACUUUUUGCAUGUACCUUAUGAAUAAGGACCGGCUAAUUCCGUG
This 505-nucleotide ribosomal RNA is filed under the name uncultured bacterium. RNAcentral describes it as "bacterial SSU rRNA". It matches the Rfam family "Bacterial small subunit ribosomal RNA", at positions 15 to 507 of the family's 1533-position model. The record is from RNAcentral.